Molecule: ribosomal RNA, 1074 nt
Filed under: Pediococcus pentosaceus
Lineage: Bacteria; Bacillati; Bacillota; Bacilli; Lactobacillales; Lactobacillaceae
Description: bacterial SSU rRNA
Rfam family: Bacterial small subunit ribosomal RNA
Source: RNAcentral
AAGAAGGGUUCGCUCGUAAGCUCUGUUGUUAAGAAGAACGUGGGUAGAGUACUGUUACCCAGUGACGGUAUUUACCAGAAAGCACGGCUAACUACGUGCAGCAGCGCGGUAAUACGUAGGUGGCAGCGUUAUCCGGAUUUAUUGGGCGUAAAGCGAGCGCAGGCGGUCUUUAAGUCUAAUGUGAAAGCCUUCGGCUCAACCGAAGAAGUGCAUUGGAAACUGGGAGACUUGAGUGCAGAAGAGGACAGUGGAACUCCAUGUGUAGCGGUGAAAUGCGUAGAUAUAUGGAAGAACACCAGUGGCGAAGGCGGCUGUCUGGUCUGCAACUGACGCUGAGGCUCGAAAGCAUGGGUAGCGAACAGGAUUAGAUACCCUGGUAGUCCAUGCCGUAAACGAUGAUUACUAAGUGUUGGAGGGUUUCCGCCCUUCAGUGCUGCAGCUAACGCAUUAAGUAAUCCGCCUGGGGAGUACGACCGCAAGGUUGAAACUCAAAAGAAUUGACGGGGGCCCGCACAAGCGGUGGAGCAUGUGGUUUAAUUCGAAGCUACGCGAAGAACCUUACCAGGUCUUGACAUCUUCUGACAGUCUAAGAGAUUAGAGGUUCCCUUCGGGGACAGAAUGACAGGUGGUGCAUGGUUGUCGUCAGCUCGUGUCGUGAGAUGUUGGGUUAAGUCCCGCAACGAGCGCAACCCUUAUUACUAGUUGCCAGCAUUAAGUUGGGCACUCUAGUGAGACUGCCGGUGACAAACCGGAGGAAGGUGGGGACGACGUCAAAUCAUCAUGCCCCUUAUGACCUGGGCUACACACGUGCUACAAUGGAUGGUACAACGAGUCGCGAGACCGCGAGGUUAAGCUAAUCUCUUAAAACCAUUCUCAGUUCGGACUGUAGGCUGCAACUCGCCUACACGAAGUCGGAAUCGCUAGUAAUCGCGGAUCAGCAUGCCGCGGUGAAUACGUUCCCGGGCCUUGUACACACCGCCCGUCACACCAUGAGAGUUUGUAACACCCAAAGCCGGUGGGGUAACCUUUUAGGAGCUAGCCGUCUAAGGUGGGACAGAUGAUUAGGGUGAAGUC